GGGCAGGUGGCGGAAUUGGUAUACGCGCACGCUUGAGGUGCGUGUGCCGAAAGGCGUAAGGGUUCAAGUCCCUUCCUGCCCACCA
RNAcentral lists this transfer RNA (85 nucleotides) under Candidatus Altimarinota bacterium. Its description in RNAcentral is "tRNA-Leu". It matches the Rfam family "tRNA". Rfam says of the family: Transfer RNA (tRNA) molecules are approximately 80 nucleotides in length. Their secondary structure includes four short double-helical elements and three loops (D, anti-codon, and T loops). Lineage: Bacteria; Candidatus Altimarinota. The record is from RNAcentral.